This 253-nucleotide ribosomal RNA is filed under the name uncultured bacterium. Its description in RNAcentral is "partial 16S ribosomal RNA". It matches the Rfam family "Bacterial small subunit ribosomal RNA", at positions 524 to 776 of the family's 1533-position model. The record is from RNAcentral.
UACGAGGGGGGCGAGCGUUGUUCGGAAUUAUUGGGCGUAAAGGGCUCGUAGGCGGUUUGUCGCGUCGGGAGUGAAAACACGGGGCUUAACCCCGUGCCUGCUUCCGAUACGGGCAGACUAGAGGUAUGCAGGGGAGAACGGAAUUCCUGGUGUAGCGGUGAAAUGCGCAGAUAUCAGGAGGAACACCGGUGGCGAAGGCGGUUCUCUGGGCAUUACCUGACGCUGAGGAGCGAAAGUGUGGGGAGCGAACAGG